This 2179-nucleotide long non-coding RNA is filed under the name Homo sapiens (human). RNAcentral's name for it is "HSALNT0241689". The record is from RNAcentral. Lineage: Eukaryota; Metazoa; Chordata; Mammalia; Primates; Hominidae.
UAGGUCUGGGUUCCUGAAUGCCAAGUGAAGAAAGUACUUCAAGAGUGAGCAAUCAGGCUGUGCAUGGUGGCUUAUGCAUACUGAAUGGUUCGCUAGGUUUCACAACACGGAGGACACUGACAAACUUGAAAGGAGCCAUCUGGGUGGGGUGGUAAGGAGACAAUGUCGUCAGAGUGAGUACAAGAGAGAACGGGGUAAAGAAAUUGAACCCAGCCAGUAGGGUAGGCUCUUUCAAGGAGUUACGUUGUUAAGAGAAAUAAGGCAGUAGCUGAGAGGAAAAUGGGGCUGUGAGGCUUUAAGAUGAGAAAAACAAAGGCGUCUUCACUGAAGCAUGACUCUGUAUGACAUCCUUUCACAAAAUACCUUCCUCUUUCCUCUCAUGCCACAUUUCCCUCACAAGCCGCCCGACUCGCUCGCUUUUCUCUCGCCAGAGGGACUGAAAACGUCAUUAAUACCAACUGCAUACACAACUCCAUUGCAGCUACUGCCAUUCAUGAACGUUCAAACUUUCGUCACCCUGUUUUCAUAUUUGUGUAACAAACGUCGAGUGAACGAACCUCCACCUCUUCCAAGAACCCACGCUGAGGAGGCUUCCCAUAGACCCUGCUCUUACGAAGCCAACGACUUCUACAGGAAGAAAGAGGACCUGUAAGCUAGCGAGUGAACGACCCGCAAGAUGGAAAUGAGUGUGCUAAUAGAGGUCUCCGCCUCCCGCUGAAGGAGCAGGGAAGUGACACCACCCCCGGGACCGCCAGCCUUCUACAACAACCACCAUUUCUGAGGAACCACCUGAUCAGUCUCAGUCACCCUUCAAUCUGCCCCUUUGUCCCAACUCCUCAGCGGGUCUCGCCUCCCCUCCCCACCUCUGUCCCCCAAGGGUCCCACUACCGGCCCGAGCUGCCCUCCCUUCCUCUCGGCUGGAGGCCCCCGCGCUCUCUGUGGUCAGCCCCUGCCGCCCCUCGGGCGGCGCUGCUCUAGCUCUGCAGCCUUCCCAGGAUCCCGCGCCGCGCGGCCCCGCCCCCGCGGUCACCUGACCGAGCCCGACGCUCCGCCCACCGACCACCCCGAGCGGAGCGGGCCCAGGACCCUAUCGGCUGUCGAGCCGGUGCUGCCGCGGCCACCGCCACCGCCCAGGGGCUCCGGGGCUGUGGGGAGCGGCUGAACUCAAUACCGCCUCCGCGCUGACUGGAAGGCACUGCGGCCGCGCCUGCCUGCCCCACCUCGUAAGGGCCUGUGACCUCACGAGGCCAGCCGCCGGGCGCUGCAUUCGAGCGGUGGGGCUCCUGUCCGUGCGCUUUCCUCCCGCAGCCCCGGCCGGGAUUCCGCCCUCCGUCCUUGCCACCCGCUCGCCACUCUUCCCUAAUCGCUGUUCAUUCUCCGGUGCGCUGUCCCGCCAUGGUCUGACCCCACUUCAAUCUUACCUUCGGUCCGUCCUUUGAACACCCCGACCCCCGACCCCUUUCUUCCAAAACAUUCCAUCCUUCUUGGCUUCUGCUACUCAAUAAUGGACAGCAGCUCGAAGGCCAUGUGUCCCACGGCUUUGCUGAAAUUUGUCUCGGGUUGCCUUUAAGGAGACUGUCGUUUCCUUUUGAAAGAGAUACUUUGGUUGGUUUGGUUUUCUUCUGUGUGUUUGUUUUUCCUAUGUAUUUAUCGUAUGCAGUUGGGCAAAAUACUUAACGCUCCCUGAGUCUCGAUUUUCUCAUUCUUCCAGGGUUGUGGGAAUUCAAAAAUAUAUACGUAGUGCUCAAUAAAUGUUACAAUAUUGAACUUCAGAUUGAAAAGCAUGUACUUGAGUAGCUGUAUUUAAGGAAUUACACCCAAGAAGUCUCAUCUUCCCUGGACUUACGUAGAGGAUAAGAUUCUGAACUUUGAAUUGAUGCUAUAAUGGGAUAAGACUUUGGGGCCUUAGAAGGGAGACCAGGACCUGCCAGCCAAGACAAUAUUUUGGGUUCUUUCCCAAAAUACUUAGUCAUCUAAAAUCAUAACCCUAUUGAAAGCUGCCUUCCUGUUCAACCCCAGUCAACAACUAAAACAGAGGCAUGUCACCCCUCUGGGGGUCAGGCUGAGUAUACUCUGCAGAGCUCUGCUUCCCACAAAUGUCAGGAGAACAAAGGCCAUGAAGGUGUUAAAGGGAAGCAAGCGAUCGACAGCAUUGGUUGGUGACAAACCUGUGGCUGGU